Melospiza melodia melodia is the source of this 918-nucleotide long non-coding RNA. RefSeq lists it as uncharacterized. Lineage: Eukaryota; Metazoa; Chordata; Aves; Passeriformes; Passerellidae. The transcript is spliced from 3 exons. The record is from RefSeq and is a predicted model, not a curated record.
UACGAAUGUUAGAGAGAAAUUAACUCAACAUCAGGUGUGAACUGUAUGAAUAUUUUACAUAAAUCAUCUGAAAAAGACUGUUGUCUGUAAGAGGGCUUUUAAAAGAGAUCACUGAAGUUGAUAUGAGGAACCUGUGCCUUUGAAGAUGUUCCAUUCCAAGUAGACAAACAAUAGUGUUAUUACUACUUCAGUUAUUUUUGCUGAAGUAAGCAUCCAGGCCUCUGGAUUUAGUGCUCUGUUGAAGGCCAAUGGAAACAGAGAUGAUUUGCCUGCCUGAUGCCUUUUCACCCUUUCAUCUCACAAAGAUGCUACUUAAUAGGCGAGCAGAUACUGGAUAAGAAGAUAAAAGAAUGGAAGUGAUGAGAUCAAGGCCACAAAAGAAAGGAAGAACCUGCUUGUAUCUUCUCCUCACACACCUGCUAGGAAAGCAAAUCCUGCUUUAGUCAUUGGUGCCACUUUGGGCAUUUUGCCGUAGUUACACAGGAGUGUCUAGUGGAGCCUUCCACUUAAAUGACUGUUCUACUUUUCCUUUGGAACCAAAGAACCACAGAAAUUAAUGGGAACACACAUUGGAAGCAAGAGGUAUUCCAGACCUACUAACAAAAGCAGCAUAAUGAAAACUGAAGACCUUGAAUAACAAUAAAAUAACCGAGUUGGUAAAAACCCAACUGAUGGAGCUCUCAUGUGGAACAUAUUGUGUCUACGAUGUUACAGGUCAUUUCCUUUCUCUUUCUCUAUAAACAUGUUUUUCAAAUGAGUUUCAAGUUGGUGCAGCUGCUUCAAGCCCAGCAUGUUGAAAGCAUAUCCAUAUGACAGAUGACCAGCAGCUGCUGUUGGAAAAUGGACAAAGCCAAGGGUAGAUGUUGCUUGGGAGGAUGAACUUUGCUUCCAGGCAAAACAUCUUCUUCAAUAUUUUGC